RNAcentral lists this ribosomal RNA (631 nucleotides) under Salmonella enterica subsp. enterica serovar Enteritidis. Its description in RNAcentral is "partial 23S ribosomal RNA". It matches the Rfam family "Bacterial large subunit ribosomal RNA", at positions 1 to 595 of the family's 2925-position model. Lineage: Bacteria; Pseudomonadati; Pseudomonadota; Gammaproteobacteria; Enterobacterales; Enterobacteriaceae. The record is from RNAcentral.
GGGUUGUGAGGUUAAGCGACUAAGCGUACACGGUGGAUGCCCUGGCAGUCAGAGGCGAUGAAGGGCGUGCUAAUCUGCGAUAAGCGCCGGUAAGGUGAUAUGAACCGUUAUAACCGGCGAUACCCGAAUGGGGAAACCCAGUGUGACUCGUCACACUAUCAUUAACUGAAUCCAUAGGUUAAUGAGGCGAACCGGGGGAACUGAAACAUCUAAGUACCCCGAGGAAAAGAAAUCAACCGAGAUUCCCCCAGUAGCGGCGAGCGAACGGGGAGGAGCCCAGAGCCUGAAUCAGCAUGUGUGUUAGUGGAAGCGUCUGGAAAGGCGCGCGAUACAGGGUGACAGCCCCGUACACAAAAGCGCAUGUGCUGUGAGCUCGAUGAGUAGGGCGGGACACGUGGUAUCCUGUCUGAAUAUGGGGGGACCAUCCUCCAAGGCUAAAUACUCCUGACUGACCGAUAGUGAACCAGUACCGUGAGGGAAAGGCGAAAAGAACCCCGGCGAGGGGAGUGAAAAAGAACCUGAAACCGUGUACGUACAAGCAGUGGGAGCCCCACCACCAAAGCAUUUGCUGUACCGCGUUGACGGAGCGAAGCGACGUCAAACCGAUAAAACAGCAGUGUAAAGUGAGCCG